RNAcentral lists this ribosomal RNA (1286 nucleotides) under Selatosomus glaucus. RNAcentral's name for it is "partial large subunit ribosomal RNA". The stretch from base 1046 to 1204 matches the Rfam family "Archaeal large subunit ribosomal RNA", at positions 2542 to 2701 of the family's 2987-position model. Lineage: Eukaryota; Metazoa; Arthropoda; Insecta; Coleoptera; Elateridae. The record is from RNAcentral.
UUUGGAAUUAAUUAUUGAUUUUUAUUUAUGAAAGUAUUCUUUGUUUUAGUAAUUUUUUUGAAUAAAGGGUUGUUUAUUAUAGUUUAUUAGUAGAGUGAUUGAACUUUGAAAUAUUUGAUUAUAUACUUUAAAGAAGAAUUAAUUUUUUGUACCUUGUGUAUCAGGGUUUAUUAAUUAAAAUUUAAUUAAUUAAUUUUCUCGAAUUGAAAAGAGUUAGUUUACUAUUAAUUUGAUUGUUGAAUAAAUUUUUUUAAUAGUUUAUUGGUAAUGAAACGUUAUUCGUUUUUUAAUAUAUCUAGUUUUUUAAGAAAAGAAUUUAAUUCUUUUAUUUAUUUAAAUUUAGGCUUUUUUUUAUUAGUCUUAAUUUUGUGAAUAUGAAAUGUUUAAUGGGAUGAGCUUUUGAACAUAUUUUUAAAAAUUUUUAGUUUUUGUUAAUAUUUGUAUGAUUAGAAUUGUUGAUCUUUAGAAUAAUUUUAUAGUUAAUUUUUCUUUUAUUUGAUUUUUAUUUUUUUUUAAUUUUUAUAUUAAAAUUUAGAUAUUAAUUUUUGGUGUCUAUUGAUUAUGAUAAAAUUAGUAAAAUAUUUUUUGUUGUUUGAUUGGUUUUGUUAGGUUCUUCUAAGGAAUUCGGCAAAUUUAUUUUCCGCCUGUUUAUUAAAAACAUGUCUUUUUGAUUAUAAUUUAAGGUUUGAUCUGCUCAAUGAGGAUUUAAAUUGCCGCGGUAUUUUGACCGUGCAAAGGUAGCAUAAUAAUUAGUUUUUUUAUUGAAAGCUGGAAUGAAUGAUUGGACGAGAAAAUUACUGUCUCUGAUGAAAUUUUUUUUGAAUUUAACUUUUAAGUUAAAAGGCUUAAAUUUUUUUUAAAGACGAGAAGACCCUAUAGAGUUUAAUAUUGGAUUUGGUAAUAGUUUUUUGGUUAUUUAAUGUUUUUACCUUUUUUAAUAUUUGGUUGGGGUGACUAGAAGAUUAAUUAAACUCUUCAAAUUUUAAAUCAUUUAUUUGUGAAUAAUAAAUCUAAUUUUUUUAAAUUUAAGAUUAAUUACCUUAGGGAUAACAGCGUAAUUUCUUUUUAGAGUUCAUAUUAAAAAGGAAGUUUGCGACCUCGAUGUUGGAUUAAAAUUAAUUUUUGGUGCAGAAGCUUCAAAAUUAGGUCUGUUCGACCUUUAAAAUUUUACAUGAUCUGAGUUUAAACCGGUGUGAGCCAGGUUGGUUUCUAUCUUAAUAAAAAUAUAAUAUUUUAGUACGAAAGGACCAAAUGUUGGAUAAGUUAUUUUAUUUUUGAAUAUUAUU